RNAcentral lists this ribosomal RNA (468 nucleotides) under uncultured bacterium. Its description in RNAcentral is "partial 16S ribosomal RNA". It matches the Rfam family "Bacterial small subunit ribosomal RNA", at positions 28 to 507 of the family's 1533-position model. The record is from RNAcentral.
GACGAACGCUGGCGGCGUGCUUAACACAUGCAAGUCGAACGGAAAGGCGCUGCUGUUUUGGGGUGCUCGAGUGGCGAACGGGUGAGUAACACGUGAGUAACCUGCCCUUGACUGUGGGAUAACUUCAGGAAACUGGGGCUAAUACCGGAUAGGAGCUCCUGCUGCAUGGGGGGGGUUGGAAAGGUUCGGCGGGUGGGGAUGGACUCGCGGCUUAGCAGCUUUGUGGGGGGGGAGUGGCUUACCAAGGCUUUGACUGAUAGCCGGCCUGAGAGGGUGACCGGCCACCUUGCGCCUACGAUACGGACCAGACUCCUACGGGACGCAGUAGUGGGGAAUCUUGUGCAGUGGGCGGACGUCUGAUGAGGAAACGCCGCGUGCGGAAUGACCGCCUUCCGGUUGUAAACCGAUUUAGCCUGUGACCAAGCGUGAGUGACGGUACUGGGUAAAGAAGCACCGGCUAACUCCGUG